This 497-nucleotide ribosomal RNA is filed under the name uncultured bacterium. RNAcentral describes it as "partial 16S ribosomal RNA". It matches the Rfam family "Bacterial small subunit ribosomal RNA", at positions 28 to 507 of the family's 1533-position model. The record is from RNAcentral.
GAUGAACGCUGGCGGCGUGCCUAAUACAUGCAAGUCGAGCGAACAGACGAGGAGCUUGCUCCUCUGACGUUAGCGGCGGACGGGUGAGUAACACGUGGAUAACCUACCUAUAAGACUGGGAUAACUUCGGGAAACCGGAGCUAAUACCGGAUAAUAUAUUGAACCGCAUGGUUCAAUAGUGAAAGACGGUUUUGCUGUCACUUAUAGAUGGAUCCGCGCCGCAUUAGCUAGUUGGUAAGGUAACGGCUUACCAAGGCAACGAUGCGUAGCCGACCUGAGAGGGUGAUCGGCCACACUGGAACUGAGACACGGUCCAGACUCCUACGGGAGGCAGCAGUAGGGAAUCCUCCGCAAUGGGCGAAAGCCUGACGGAGCAACGCCGCGUGAGUGAUGAAGGUCUUCGGAUCGUAAAACUCUGUUAUUAGGGAAGAACAAAUGUGUAAGUAACUAUGCACGUCUUGACGGUACCUAAUCAGAAAGCCACGGCUAGCUACGUG